AGGGUAGACAAAUCUACUACUCCUAUUGGUCUGCCUGUUGGUGCUGAGUGGAUGUCAGUGGUUAGCUGGGCUCUUCUUGGCCCAGAUCCCAGUCCCCAACUGAGCUGAGCCUGGAGACAGCCAGCAGAAGGGACCUGAAGCUUGUGGCAAGGCAAAACGCUGGAUACAUGAGAAAGUGUUUUCCGGGGCUCUGAGAAACACUGAGACCUCUAAGCCUUGUUACCAAGAAUGUCUCCUGUCAUGGCCUCCCAGAAACUAAAGAGGAGCAAUUGGGAGUGUUCUCAGCAUUAAGUCUUUGUGCAGACAAGGGGAGUGGCAGGGAGAGAGGUCUCUGCCUGGACAUUUUAUUAAAUGGGCCCUGGGGGAAGCACAGAUCCACAUCAUCCCAGAUGAACCCAUGACCCUGCACAAUAGAGACCUGAGAGGCAGAUGUGUGGUGCCUUUGACUUGGAAAACUUUUCUGCCAUGGCUCCCAUUUCACCCAAGUUUGGUACCAUUUUUCAAGUUUAGUCAUCCAUUCACCUUGGAGGCCCAGACUUUUCUCAUCUCCCCUUGUAAAGGACAUGCUGGCUGGCUGGCUGCUUUCUUCUGGAGCCCUUGGUUUCUUAAACGAUAAUGAAUGAAAGAUCCAAAUCUGUCCCACACAGGUAAUC
This is a long non-coding RNA of Ictidomys tridecemlineatus (thirteen-lined ground squirrel), 653 nucleotides long. RefSeq lists it as uncharacterized. The record is from RefSeq and is a predicted model, not a curated record. NCBI's taxonomy places the organism in Eukaryota, Metazoa, Chordata, Mammalia, Rodentia, Sciuridae.